GGGGAUUACAUGAUAACCAAUUUGGGACAGUUCUGGGAUUGGAGAAGAGGGUAUCCUUAUAGCAUAGGGGAUCCCACAAAGGUGGAUAGGUUUUCCAUGAUAUGGGGAAACCUGGGAGCACUGUUGAACUCUGUAAAGGUGAUGAAAUCCUACUAACCAUCAAAACCAUUCAGCUCUCUGAUGCAGGUACUUACACCCUUGGACAGGAAAGGGCUGGGGACGACAUGGGCCUGUUUUCUGUUAAGGUGCUGACAAAACCACAGAGGUCCCAGACAAACCAGAGCCAGACACACCCCUCUACCACCCCUGGACCGGACCUGCCACCUACCACCACUGUCUCAAAUCCCAUUCAGGCUUUUUCUUUGGACCUUAUAUGGCGAUUGGCAACUCUUUCAUAAUAAGGUGUUGUGACGAGAUGAAAAGAAUCUGCCCACUCCAUCAAGCAAUGGGGACAACAACACAGGGCAUCCAUCGGACGUCCUGGAACCACGGACCACACCUGCAGAAACUGGACAGCAGGGGGAAGCAGAGGAGAUACCCAGCAUAGACUUCUCCCAGCUGACGCUUGACAUACCACCUACGCCACCUCCAGUGGUAGAAACAACCAGAUGGGAUGAUUGAGUCGAAUCAGCCAACAGUAACACGGAAGCAGCAAUGUGAGAGUCAGUAGUACAUGACCUUAAAUGGUAAUAAUAGGAAGCUUCCGUUUAACACACAGGCCUAAGAUUACGUAGGUCUACAGCCCCAGUGGGAACUUCCCCUGUAAAAAGGUAUAUAAAGAUCAUAAGACAGUAUGAUCCUCGUUAACAUAUGAGACAGACUUCACAUGGAGAAUCAUCAUAGGUCAAUUUACUAUACGCUUUUUGUUACACUAGAACAAUAUUUUGAGAACUGGAUCAUUUUGGUUAAGUACUUAUUGGGUCACUAUCUGAAGAAACUGGUUGAAUUUUGUGAACCCGACUGAGUCUCUGAAAAACAGGGGUCUAACCACCUCUUGAUCACACAGGCAAAGCGGGCGUUUGCAUUUUAGACACCAGGAACCAGAGGUGAUUAGCAAUUCAAGGAAAAACAGCCAAGUACCAGUUACAAUAUAUUGAGACACAGAGUUGGAAGAUAUAAUAAUAAUAAUAAUAAUAAUAAUAAUAAUAAUA
Molecule: long non-coding RNA, 1151 nt
Organism: Oncorhynchus tshawytscha (Chinook salmon)
Lineage: Eukaryota; Metazoa; Chordata; Actinopteri; Salmoniformes; Salmonidae
Source: Ensembl